CUGUUGGUGGUUCAGUGGUAGAAUUCUUGCCUUCUAUGCAGAAGACCCGUGUUCAAUUCCCAGCCAAUGCA
Molecule: transfer RNA, 71 nt
Filed under: Loxodonta africana (African savanna elephant)
Lineage: Eukaryota; Metazoa; Chordata; Mammalia; Proboscidea; Elephantidae
Rfam family: tRNA
About the family: Transfer RNA (tRNA) molecules are approximately 80 nucleotides in length. Their secondary structure includes four short double-helical elements and three loops (D, anti-codon, and T loops).
Source: Rfam by way of RNAcentral